This is a non-coding RNA of Acanthosepion pharaonis, 113 nucleotides long. The record is from the annotation of a GenBank genome assembly. Lineage: Eukaryota; Metazoa; Mollusca; Cephalopoda; Sepiida; Sepiidae.
UACGGCCUCAUCACGUUGAAACACCCGUUCCCCAACGAUCAUCGAAGUUAAGCAACAUCGAACCUGGUUCGUACCUUGAUGGGUGACCAUUUGAGAAUACCAUGUGCUGUAAG